CAGUAGCCGCGGUAAUACGUAGGGUGCAAGCGUUAAUCGGAAUUACUGGGCGUAAAGCGUGCGCAGGCGGUUAUAUAAGACAGAUGUGAAAUCACCGGGCUCAACCUGGGAACUGCAUUUGUGACUGUAUAGCUAGAGUACGGCAGAGGGGGAUGGAAUUCCGCGUGUAGCAGUGAAAUGCGUAGAUAUGCGGAGGAACACCGAUGGCGAAGGCAAUCCCCUGGGCCUGUACUGACGCUCAUGCACGAAAGCGUGGGGAGCAAACAGGAUUAGAUACCCCUGUAGUCCCUGUCUCUUAUAC
Molecule: ribosomal RNA, 301 nt
Filed under: uncultured bacterium
Lineage: Bacteria
Description: partial 16S ribosomal RNA
Rfam family: Bacterial small subunit ribosomal RNA
Source: RNAcentral